GGCUAACGCUGGCGGCGUGUCUUAGCCAUGCAAGUCGAGCGGACUUAUGGGGUAACUUAUAAGUCAGCGGCGGACGGCGGAGUAACACGUAGCUAACCUACCCUCUGGACGGGGAUAACCUACCGAAAGGUGGGCUAAUACCCGAUGUAGUCAUCCUGUAUAGGGGUGAUGAAAGGUGGGCUUCUGUUUAUAAGCUCAUGCUGGAGGAGGGGGCUGCGGCCUAUCAGGUAGUUGGUAGGGUAAUAGCCUACCAAGCCGAUGACGGGUAGCCGGCCUGAGAGGGUGACCGGCCCGAGGGGCACUGAGAUACGGGUCCCACUCCUACGGGAGGCAGCAGGCUAGAAAUUUGGGCAAUGGGGGAAACCCUGACCCAGUGACGCCGCGUGCAGGAAGGAGCCCUUCGGGGUGUAAACUGCUGUCGUGUAGGGAGAAGGGUACUAAGGUGAACAAUCUUAGUACUUGACGGUACUACAGGAGGAAGCCCAGGCUAACCUCGUG
This 498-nucleotide ribosomal RNA is filed under the name uncultured bacterium. Its description in RNAcentral is "bacterial SSU rRNA". It matches the Rfam family "Bacterial small subunit ribosomal RNA", at positions 28 to 507 of the family's 1533-position model. The record is from RNAcentral.